Molecule: long non-coding RNA, 1203 nt
Organism: Triticum aestivum (bread wheat)
Lineage: Eukaryota; Viridiplantae; Streptophyta; Magnoliopsida; Poales; Poaceae
Exons: 3
Source: RefSeq, a predicted model, not a curated record
CUCACUCACUCGCCCAGCCGCACUCACUCGCACGCUUCUCGCCGCUCGCCGGCCUUCCCCUUCUCGCCUGCCUCCCCUCUCCCCGCUGCUCGCCAGCCUCACCCUCCCCUCUCCCCAUCGCUGGCCUCACCCUCCCUCUCCCUCUCCCUCUUCCUUUCCACCACCCCGCCUCCACUCACACCCUGGAGGUAAAAAAAUCAAUCUUGUGAGCCGGCGACGAGCUUCUACUCUGGAAUAUGCAAUAGAGGCGUGGAUGUGGAGCACCAGCGCUGGAUCUAGGCGAGGGAGGCAUGGAUGUGGAGCGGCACGCGAGCGACGGAUUUGGAGCAGCGCCGGAGCAGUGGAGCGGAGGAUCUGGAGCAGAGUAUUCGUCCUCACGGUGCCCAUGUCAUCGUCUUCGUCGGACGUCCCCACCUCGCCGACGCGUUCGAUCUGCGCACACUGUGUUCUCUCGGAACUUUAGGCAUGUUUGCAAUUGGACAAAUGAUGUAUAACAAUGAUCAUCAUCUCUAAAUUUGACAAUUAGACAACAUCAGUAGGAGGCCACCAACACUAUCAUUUUCUCAUGCAUUACAGUUUUACAGACUAUUGUACCUAAAAGCAUCGACAAAUUCUCCCAAUUCUGCAUCUGGCGAAAACUGAUAAGAAUUGGGAGCAACGAGGAGUACCUGACGAGGACCAGGCGGGGGAGCAGCGAGGACCGAGCGGGGGAGAAGCAAGGAUCAGGCUGGUCAGUGCGUUGAGAGGACCAGGUUGGUGCAGCGAGGACUAGAUUGGGAGGAGCGAUGGCGGCGGCCAGGCUGGGGCGGCGGUGAUCAAAUUGGGAGCGGUGGCCACCAAACUGGGCAAGGACGACGGGGAAGAGAGUAGCAAAGGAGGAGGAGGAGGAGGAGGUGGAGGGCGGAGGAGGAGGUGGCCGGACUAGCAGCUGGAGCUGGAGGAGGUGGAGGGCGCAGGUGGCCUGGCGGAGGAAGACUACAAGGAGGAGCCUGGCGGAGGAAGACGACAACUCGUUUCAAAUCAGGGGUAUUUUUGUACAUUUGCCCAUUUACACCUGGUCCGAAAAAGCCCCCAAUGACAACUAUUUCGGAACAGAGGGAGUAUUUAUUAUGGAGCUGCCAACCCCAUGAAGCAAAAUAUUUGUUCUUUUGGGGCUGGCACCUCGAACAAGCAUAAAAAUAGAGGGAAGCAGAUAUAUUGUCA